This 253-nucleotide ribosomal RNA is filed under the name uncultured bacterium. RNAcentral's name for it is "partial 16S ribosomal RNA". It matches the Rfam family "Bacterial small subunit ribosomal RNA", at positions 524 to 776 of the family's 1533-position model. The record is from RNAcentral.
UACAGGGGGGGUAAGCGUUGUUCGGAAUUACUGGGCGUAAAGGGCUCGUAGGCGGCCAACUAAGUCAGACGUGAAAUCCCUCAGCUUAACUGGGGAACUGCGUCUGAUACUGGAUGGCUUGGAUUCGGGAGAGGAAUGCGGAAUUCCAGGUGUAGCGGUGAAAUGCGUAGAUAUCUGGAGGAACACCGGUGGCGAAGGCGGCAUCCUGGACCAAUAUUGACGCUGAGGAGCGAAAGCGUGGGGAGCGAACAGG